CCGAGUUUGCUUUUCUAGCUCGAAACCCACUGUGAACAUACCUCUCUUCUCGUUGCUUCGGCGGCGGUUCCUUCUCCUCGCCCGCUCCUCUGCGGGCGUCGUCCAGGUGCUCAGCCGUCGGAGGGACGCAACCAAAAACUCUUUCUUACUUUCAAGUAUUAUCUGAGUCGAUAUUUUUAAUUAUCA
RNAcentral lists this unclassified non-coding RNA (186 nucleotides) under uncultured fungus. Its description in RNAcentral is "sequence contains ITS1". Lineage: Eukaryota; Fungi. The record is from RNAcentral.